RNAcentral lists this long non-coding RNA (1275 nucleotides) under Bemisia tabaci. RNAcentral's name for it is "lncRNA ENSASIAIIG004594". Lineage: Eukaryota; Metazoa; Arthropoda; Insecta; Hemiptera; Aleyrodidae. The record is from RNAcentral.
CGUAGGUUUUGGGUGAGUGAUUCUAUGGUGAUUCUUGAUGGGGUGAGGAGGAGAAAAUUAUAAGAAAAAUCGUUUUUUUCAUUCAACGGCCUUGAACACAUUGAUGGAUUUUUUUUUUCAGCUGCCGCUUUGUGGAUGGACUUACUGUAGUUUCUUUCAGAGUACUAUUAGUCGGCGAACUUUCUACGCUGUUACGAUCAAGGAGGAAUACGAUCAUGAAUUUAUGGCCUCAAAAGGAAAAAUAGGGAAAAUUAAGUCAUUACAGAGGAAGAUCAUAACAAAAAUUCGGGCUUGCACCGAUCUACGCCCUUCUGUGUCGAUUGGACGUGGAAAUUGACCGCUCGCGAAAACCGAGUUGACAUAUUUAAAAAUAAAAGCGACGCAAGAGAUGGCCAAAAUUAAACGAGGACGGUUCUGUGUCUCCCAAUGGACCACUAGACAAGGUACGAAUUUCAGCAUUCUGAUACAUACUUCUUAACUAAAAUUUCACGUAAAAUACGACGCGCAUAACGAAAACUACCGAAAUCAACUCUUUCCAAAGAUAUUUAAUGAUUCUUGAUGCGUAAAUUCAAACCACCCGUUCAGACAACUUUCCUUUUAACAAUUUUAAUGCCAAUUUGGCUGACUUUCAUAAAACAUGGUAAACAGAUUGAAAUAAUCGAGCUACAAGCCAAAAAUAAAUGUUUCCACCCGUUGCACUGCAGUGUUGGCGGUCGAAACGUUUGUUUCCUGUAAUUUUUUUAGUAUUUCACAUCUCUACGUAGUUUGAAAUAUUAUUUGUUCAAUUUAUUUUUGGCUUGUAGUUUGAUUUUUUCAAUCUUUUUACCAUCUCCUUUUUACUCCGGCUGAAGUUUGUAACAUGUUCAUUCUGUUUGACACUGAUGGUCAUUGCCUUAAUUAGGACCACUUAGUAGGGUAAAAAUGGGAAUUUGAUUCAUGUUUCACUCAGACACACCUCUUAUGAAUUCAAUAUGAUGACUUAUGUACCUAUGUGUUCCCCACCCCCCGCCCCUUUUUAGAACUAGAACCUUUUUAGAACCCUUUAACUAGAGAUGACAGGUUUUAAAGCAUUUACUCUAAAAAAUUGAUUUAGAAUUAAAUAGGAUCAGCUGAAUUUUGCGUAAAAAAUUUCUAUUUUAAGGAAUAUUUUCUACAAGAUAAAAAUUCUGUUUUUUAGCGUGCUGUAGCAAUCUUAUAAAUGAAUGACAGUAAAAAAUACUGUUGACUUAUGUUAGUGUGAAUCCUUAAGUGUUGGAAAAUAACAUUUUUUUUUUU